RNAcentral lists this ribosomal RNA (374 nucleotides) under uncultured eukaryote. Its description in RNAcentral is "partial 18S ribosomal RNA". It matches the Rfam family "Eukaryotic small subunit ribosomal RNA", at positions 592 to 975 of the family's 1831-position model. The record is from RNAcentral.
CAAUAGCGUAUAUUUAAGUUGUUGCAGUUAAAAAGCUCGUAGUUGGAUUUCGGUUAAGAGCGACCGGUCCGCCGUUUGGUGUGCACUGGUUGGUUUUAACUUCCUGUAGAGGACGUGCUCUGGGUUUAACGACCUGGACUCGGAGUCUACGUGGUUACUUUGAAAAAAUUAGAGUGUUCAAAGCGGGCUUACGCUUGAAUAUUUCAGCAUGGAAUAACACUAUAGGACUCCUGUCCUAUUUCGUUGGUCUCGGGACGGGAGUAAUGAUUAAGAGGAACAGUUGGGGGCAUUCGUAUUUCAUCGUCAGAGGUGAAAUUCUUGGAUUUAUGAAAGACGAACUUCUGCGAAAGCAUUUGCCAAGGAUGUUUUCAUUA